This 350-nucleotide ribosomal RNA is filed under the name uncultured Allobrachymonas sp. RNAcentral describes it as "bacterial SSU rRNA". It matches the Rfam family "Bacterial small subunit ribosomal RNA", at positions 1027 to 1382 of the family's 1533-position model. Lineage: Bacteria; Pseudomonadati; Pseudomonadota; Betaproteobacteria; Burkholderiales; Comamonadaceae. The record is from RNAcentral.
AGCUUGCACAGGUGCUGCAUGGCUGUCGUCAGCUCGUGUCGUGAGAUGUUCGGGUUAAGUCCCGCUAACGAGCGCAACCCUUGCCAUUAGUUGCUACGAAAGGGCACUCUAAUGGGACUGCCGGUGACAAACCGGAGGAAGUGGGGAUGACGUCAAGUCCUCAUGGCCCUUAUAGGUGGGGCUACACACGUCAUACAAUGGCCGGUACAGAGGGUAGCCAACCCGCGAGGGGGAGCCAAUCCCACAAAGCCGGUCGUAGUCCGGAUCGCAGUCUGCAACUCGACUGCGUGAAGUCGGAAUCGCUAGUAAUCGCGGAUCAGCAUGUCGCGGUGAAUACGUUCCCGGGUCUU